ACCGGUUGAUCCUGCCGGUAGUCAUAUGCUUGUUUUGAAGAUUAAGCCAUGCAUGUCUAAGUUUAAACAGAUUAAUAGUGAAACUGCGAACGGCUCAUUAUAUCAGUUAUAAUCUAUUUGAUAGUACCUUUCUACUUGUAUAACUGUAGGAAUUCUAGAGCUAAUACAUGCUAAAAUGCUGGGUGGCCUGCUGCUGGGUUGCAUUUAUUAGACUUAAGACCAAUACAUGCCUUCUUGUGAAACUUGGUGAAUCAUAAUAACUUUGCGAAUCGCGAGGGCUUUAUGCCAGCGAUGAUUCAUUCGAAUUUCUGCCCUAUCAACUUUUGAUGGUAGGAUAGAGGCCUACCAUGGUCGUAACGGGUACGGAGAAUUAGGGUUCGAUUCCGGAGAGGGAGCCUGAGAAACGGCUACCACGUCCAAGGACGGCAGCAGGCGCGUAAAUUACCCAAUCCUAAAUCUGGGAGGUAGUGAAGAAACAUAACAACGCAGGGCCUUUUUAGGUUCUGUGAUAGGAAUGAGUUGGAGCUAAAAUACUUUCUUCUAGUAACAAUUGGAGGGCAAGUCUGGUGCCAGCAGCCGCGGUAAUUCCAGCUCCAAUAGCGUAUAUUAAAGUUGCUGCAGUUAAAAAGCUCGUAGUUGGAUUUCGGAUUGGGACUGGCGGUCUGCCUUCGUGGUAAGAACUGCUUGUCCUGGUCUUAUCCUCUGGAGACUUCUUUCUGCUCUUAAGUGAGUGGGGAGAGGAUUCAGGCCGUUUACCUUGAAGAAAAUAGAGUGUUUAAGGCAAGCAAUUGCGUUUGAAUACAUUAGCAUGGAAUAAUAGAAUAGGUCUUUGAGCUUGUUCUGUUGGUCUUUAGGCUUAAAGAAAUGAUUAAUAGGGACAGUUGGGGGCAUUAGUAUUUAAUUGUCAGAGGUGAAAUUCUUGGAUUUAUUAAAGACUAACUACAGCGAAAGCAUUUGUCAAAGAUGUUUUCAUUAAUCAAGAACGAAAGUUAGGGGAUCGAAGACGAUUAGAAACCGUCCUAGUCUUAACCAUAAACGAUGCCGACUAGGGAUUGGAGGAAGUUUAUUUUCAUGACUCCUUCAGCACCUCAUGAGAAAUCAAAGUUUUUGGGCUCUGGGGGGAGUAUGGUCGCAAGGCUGAAACUUAAAGGAAUUGACGGAAGGGCACCACCAGGAGUGGAGCCUGCGGCUCAAUUUGACCCAACACGGGAAAACUUACCAGGUCCAGACAAUGGAAGGAUUGACAGAUUGACAGCUCUUUCUUGAUUCAUUGGGUGGUGGUGCAUGGCCGUUCUUAGUUGGUGGAGUGAUUUGUCUGGUUAAUUCCGUUAACG
This 1334-nucleotide ribosomal RNA is filed under the name metagenome. RNAcentral's name for it is "SSU rRNA". It matches the Rfam family "Eukaryotic small subunit ribosomal RNA", at positions 1 to 1333 of the family's 1831-position model. The record is from RNAcentral.